UACGUAGGGUGCGAGCGUUAAUCGGAAUUACUGGGCGUAAAGUGUGCGCAGGCGGCCGCGCAAGUCGAGUGUGAAAUCCCCGAGCUUAACUUGGGAAUUGCGCUCGAAACUACGUGGCUGGAGUGUGGCAGAGGAAGGUGGAAUUCCACGUGUAGCGGUGAAAUGCGUAGAGAUGUGGAGGAACACCAGUGGCGAAGGCGGUUGCCUGGAGCUUUGCUGACGCUGAGGCGCGAAAGCGUGGGGAGCGAUCCGG
RNAcentral lists this ribosomal RNA (253 nucleotides) under uncultured bacterium. RNAcentral describes it as "partial 16S ribosomal RNA". It matches the Rfam family "Bacterial small subunit ribosomal RNA", at positions 524 to 776 of the family's 1533-position model. The record is from RNAcentral.